Molecule: ribosomal RNA, 508 nt
Filed under: uncultured bacterium
Lineage: Bacteria
Description: partial 16S ribosomal RNA
Rfam family: Bacterial small subunit ribosomal RNA
Source: RNAcentral
GACGAACGCUGGCGGCGUGCCUAAUACAUGCAAGUCGAACGCUUCUUUCCUCCCGAGUGCUUGCACUCAAUUGGAAAGAGGAGUGGCGGACGGGUGAGUAACACGUGGGUAACCUACCCAUCAGAGGGGGAUAACACUUGGAAACAGGUGCUAAUACCGCAUAACAGUUUAUGCCGCAUGGCAUAAGAGUGAAAGGCGCUUUCGGGUGUCGCUGAUGGAUGGACCCGCGGUGCAUUAGCUAGUUGGUGAGGUAACGGCUCACCAAGGCCACGAUGCAUAGCCGACCUGGGAGGGUGAUCGGCCACACUGGGACGGAGACACGGCCCAGACUCCUACGGGAGGCAGCAGUAGGGAAUCUGCGGCAAUGGACGAAAGUCUGACCGAGCAACGCCGCGUGAGUGAAGAAGGUUUUCGGAUCGUAAAACUCUGUUGUUAGAGAAGAACAAGGACGUUAGUAACUGAACGUCCCCUGACGGUAUCUAACCAGAAAGCCACGGCUAACUACGUG